Flavobacterium psychrophilum JIP02/86 is the source of this 70-nucleotide small RNA. It matches the Rfam family "Flavo-1 RNA". NCBI's taxonomy places the organism in Bacteria, Pseudomonadati, Bacteroidota, Flavobacteriia, Flavobacteriales, Flavobacteriaceae. The record is from Rfam.
UUUUAGCCCUGAUGGAAGUGGAAAUCCUUGCCUUUUUUUGGCAAGAUUGCAACGUACAGCAGGAAUACUG